Molecule: transfer RNA, 65 nt
Filed under: Dipodomys ordii (Ord's kangaroo rat)
Lineage: Eukaryota; Metazoa; Chordata; Mammalia; Rodentia; Heteromyidae
Rfam family: tRNA
About the family: Transfer RNA (tRNA) molecules are approximately 80 nucleotides in length. Their secondary structure includes four short double-helical elements and three loops (D, anti-codon, and T loops).
Source: Rfam by way of RNAcentral
GGUGGCUCAGUGGUAGAGUAUUUGCCUAGCAUGCAAGAAGCCCUGGGUUCAAUUCCUCAGUACCA